Molecule: ribosomal RNA, 451 nt
Filed under: uncultured bacterium
Lineage: Bacteria
Description: partial 16S ribosomal RNA
Rfam family: Bacterial small subunit ribosomal RNA
Source: RNAcentral
AACGAACGCUGGCGGCAGGCUUAACACAUGCAAGUCGAACGGACGUAGCAAUACGUUAGUGGCAGACGGGUGAGUAACGCGUGGGAAUAUGCCCUUUAGUUCGGAAUAACCAAGGGAAACUUUGGCUAAUACCGGAUAAUCCCGAGAGGGGAAAGAUAUUAUCGCUGAAGGAGUAGCCCGCGUCUGAUUAGCUAGUUGGUGAGGUAAUGGCUCACCAAGGCGACGAUCCGAAGCUGGUCUGAGAGGAUGACCAGCCACACUGGGACUGAGACACGGCCCAGACUCCUACGGGAGGCAGCAGGGGGGAAUAUUGGACAAUGGGGGCAACCCUGAUCCAGCCAUGCCGCGUGAGUGAUGAAGGCCUUAGGGUUGUAAAACUCUUUAUCCGGGAAGAUAAUGACUGUACCGGAAGAAUAAGCCCCGGCUAACUUCGUGCCAGCCGCCGCUGUAA